RNAcentral lists this transfer RNA (74 nucleotides) under Candidatus Ornithospirochaeta stercorigallinarum. RNAcentral's name for it is "tRNA-Cys". It matches the Rfam family "tRNA". From Rfam's summary of the family: Transfer RNA (tRNA) molecules are approximately 80 nucleotides in length. Their secondary structure includes four short double-helical elements and three loops (D, anti-codon, and T loops). Further hydrogen bonds mediate the characteristic L-shaped molecular structure. tRNAs have two regions of fundamental functional importance: the anti-codon, which is responsible for specific mRNA codon recognition, and the 3' end, to which the tRNAs corresponding amino acid is attached (by aminoacyl-tRNA synthetases). tRNAs cope with the degeneracy of the genetic code in two manners: having more than one tRNA (with a specific anti-codon) for a particular amino acid; and 'wobble' base-pairing, i.e. permitting non-standard base-pairing at the 3rd anti-codon position. The record is from RNAcentral. Lineage: Bacteria; Pseudomonadati; Spirochaetota; Spirochaetia; Spirochaetales; Spirochaetaceae.
GGAGUCGUACCCAAGCGGCCUAAGGGAACGGUCUGCAAAACCGUCUUUCAGCGGUUCGAAUCCGCUCGACUCCU